RNAcentral lists this long non-coding RNA (299 nucleotides) under Marmota monax (woodchuck). The record is from RNAcentral. Lineage: Eukaryota; Metazoa; Chordata; Mammalia; Rodentia; Sciuridae.
CCGAACCGCCCGCCAGCCGCCCGUUCGGCGCGUCAGUCUGCGAGAGUACGGUGGUGGGUACGGAGCGUGCGGCCGUUCCCGCGGCCUCCUCUUCCUCUCCGUUCUCCUCACUCCUACCCCGCACCCCUUUCCCUCACCCCGGCUCCGUCACCUUCCCGCCCCCCACACUCAGGACAAGAAUGCCCUGUCCGGAACAACCCAGCAGCGCCUAGAUGGCUUUGGUCACGGUCCAGCGGUCGCCUACCCCCAGCACCACCUCCAGCCCUUGCGCCUCGGUGAGUCCCUCCCGGCGGUCACUC